RNAcentral lists this small RNA (1322 nucleotides) under Cryptococcus neoformans H99. RNAcentral's name for it is "Cryptococcus neoformans var. grubii H99 hypothetical RNA". Lineage: Eukaryota; Fungi; Basidiomycota; Tremellomycetes; Tremellales; Cryptococcaceae. The record is from RNAcentral.
CUGGAACGUAAAGGUUUUGACGCAUUCUCUGUCACGAAGAGUCCAUCCGCGCUUACACGCGAAGGCCUCGCAUUUGCCGUCAGAACAAGUUACGGAACCUCGUAGUACACCAGGAAGGGCAGUGCAGCUGUUAAAAGCCAAAGACUGUCAGCCACCACUGUCUACAAUGAGCAAGCAACUCCGAAACUCACUCAGCGCCCAUGGGCUCGGAGGAAUUACCAUUGGCACUGUAAUCACCGUAACGGCAGCCACUGCAUGAUUCAAGUUCCGUAUUAGGGUCAAUGCACUAAUGUACAGUACAUUGAAGUCAGCUCCUAAUUCCUCUCAUUGUCUUCAAACAGCCCGAGUGCUCACUUCCCAAGAGUUAGCCACCCCGUCAAUGUUGCAGGCUCGCAUACCGGUAGGGCAGUCCCAGUUCCUCUCCUUUAUCACCUCAGACCUUUUCUGAGCAAGGAUUCUCUCGUGAGCUCGUUUCCUCUUGGGAAAGGCGCUAGCAGCCGCCGCAACCGAAUGGCUGUAAGCAUAGAACUGGCCGAGACCGCAUAAGGUAGGAGCACCAGAGACGAUAGUCUCGUCACCGCAAACACAACCAUAACGAGGAGUGAGGGUCGAAAGUCCCAAGAGGUAGGGGGUAUAGUACGCCGCCCGGGUAUCGGCACACAUCUGGAAACAGGCUGGGGGAGACGAGACAGUGGUACCGAGAACACCGGUAACAGUGUUGACCAAGGCGGAAAGCAGACUAGAUGAGGCAUAGCAGCCGGUAUAGGAGAAGGUGGAAGAAGUGUCAAAGACCUAUCGAAAUUUAUAUGAGUCAUAUACCUUUCUUUUGAGCUAAUUAACUUACACCAGCUUGAAGGAUAGGAAGGCAAUUAGUGGUGAGGGAGGUGCUGGGGGCGACAUAGUUGACAGGGCUAAUGACGCUGGCUUCACUACCACAGUAGCAGUUGUUACCAAUAAGAAUGCCGCCGACAUAAUAGGCGUAAGGGUAGCUUCGCCCGGCACAGUACGUCUAAUGCGAGUGUCAGCGCAUUCGAUCUAGGGAUCAUGCAUUUAAACAACUCAUUGAGCACACGCUAUUUGAACUCUGUCGGGAGCUCACACUACCAACAGCGGUCACUGCGGUUGUAAGGACACAAUCAAGCCAAGGUGAAUUGGCGUAGAUGACUGGGAGAGAGAGGAGAACGCCGAACAAGAAAGUCAUAAUGACCGAAAAAGAGUACAUCGUGGAGAUGUGACCUAAAUGAUAAUGGUCAAAGGAAGGGGGUGGGGUUGGAAAGAAUGAGUGCGGUGGGUAAGAGCUCAACUAUGCCAAUAUUUACGGA